GUGGGGAAUCUUGCGCAAUGGGCGAAAGCCUGACGCAGCCAUGUCGCGUGAAUGAUGAAGGUCUUAGGAUUGUAAAAUUCUUUCACCGGGGACGAUAAUGACGGUACCCGGAGAAGAAGCCCCGGCUAACUUCGUGCCAGCAGCCGCGGUAAUACGAAGGGGGCUAGCGUUGCUCGGAAUUACUGGGCGUAAAGGGCGCGUAGGCGGAUCGUUAAGUCAGGGGUGAAAUCCCAGAGCUCAACUAUGGAACUGCCCUUGAUACUGGCGAUCUUGAGUGUGAGAGAGGUAUGUGGAACUCCGAGUGUAGAGGUGAAAUUCGUAGAUAUUCGGAAGAACACCAGUGGCGAAGGCGACUCACUGGCCCAAUACUGACGCUGAGGCGCGAAAGCGUGGGGAGCAAACAGGAUUAGAUACCCGUGUAGUCC
This 425-nucleotide ribosomal RNA is filed under the name uncultured bacterium. RNAcentral's name for it is "partial 16S ribosomal RNA". It matches the Rfam family "Bacterial small subunit ribosomal RNA", at positions 354 to 796 of the family's 1533-position model. The record is from RNAcentral.